Molecule: small RNA, 28 nt
Filed under: Bombyx mori (domestic silkworm)
Lineage: Eukaryota; Metazoa; Arthropoda; Insecta; Lepidoptera; Bombycidae
Description: ovarian small RNA-13837
Source: RNAcentral
CCGAUCGGUAAGAGUGCGUUACGCAGGU